UUAAGCGACUAAGCGUACACGGUGGAUGCCCUGGCAGUCAGAGGCGAUGAAGGACGUGCUAAUCUGCGAUAAGCGUCGGUAAGGUGAUAUGAACCGUUAUAACCGGCGAUUUCCGAAUGGGGAAACCCAGUGUGUUUCGACACACUAUCAUUAACUGAAUCCAUAGGUUAAUGAGGCGAACCGGGGGAACUGAAACAUCUAAGUACCCCGAGGAAAAGAAAUCAACCGAGAUUCCCCCAGUAGCGGCGAGCGAACGGGGAGCAGCCCAGAGCCUGAAUCAGUGUGUGUGUUAGUGGAAGCGUCUGGAAAGGCGCGCGAUACAGGGUGACAGCCCCGUACACAAAAAUGCACAUGCUGUGAGCUCGAUGAGUAGGGCGGGACACGUGGUAUCCUGUCUGAAUAUGGGGGGACCAUCCUCCAAGGCUAAAUACUCCUGACUGACCGAUAGUGAACCAGUACCGUGAGGGAAAGGCGAAAAGAACCCCGGCGAGGGGAGUGAAAAAGACCUGAAACCGUGUACGUACAAGCAGUGGGAGCACGCUUAGGCGUGUGACUGCGUACCUUUUGUAUAAUGGGUCAGCGACUUAUAUUCUGUAGCAAGGUUAACCGAAUAGGGGAGCCGAAGGGAAACCGAGUCUUAACUGGGCGUUAAGUUGCAGGGUAUAGACCCGAAACCCGGUGAUCUAGCCAUGGGCAGGUUGAAGGUUGGGUAACACUAACUGGAGGACCGAACCGACUAAUGUUGAAAAAUUAGCGGAUGACUUGUGGCUGGGGGUGAAAGGCCAAUCAAACCGGGAGAUAGCUGGUUCUCCCCGAAAGCUAUUUAGGUAGCGCCUCGUGAAUUCAUCUCCGGGGGUAGAGCACUGUUUCGGCAAGGGGGUCAUCCCGACUUACCAACCCGAUGCAAACUGCGAAUACCGGAGAAUGUUAUCACGGGAGACACACGGCGGGUGCUAACGUCCGUCGUGAAGAGGGAAACAACCCAGACCGCCAGCUAAGGUCCCAAAGUCAUGGUUAAGUGGGAAACGAUGUGGGAAGGCCCAGACAGCCAGGAUGUUGGCUUAGAAGCAGCCAUCAUUUAAAGAAAGCGUAAUAGCUCACUGGUCGAGUCGGCCUGCGCGGAAGAUGUAACGGGGCUAAACCAUGCACCGAAGCUGCGGCAGCGACGCUUAUGCGUUGUUGGGUAGGGGAGCGUUCUGUAAGCCUGCGAAGGUGUGCUGUGAGGCAUGCUGGAGGUAUCAGAAGUGCGAAUGCUGACAUAAGUAACGAUAAAGCGGGUGAAAAGCCCGCUCGCCGGAAGACCAAGGGUUCCUGUCCAACGUUAAUCGGGGCAGGGUGAGUCGACCCCUAAGGCGAGGCCGAAAGGCGUAGUCGAUGGGAAACAGGUUAAUAUUCCUGUACUUGGUGUUACUGCGAAGGGGGGACGGAGAAGGCUAUGUUGGCCGGGCGACGGUUGUCCCGGUUUAAGCGUGUAGGCUGGUUUUCCAGGCAAAUCCGGAAAAUCAAGGCUGAGGCGUGAUGACGAGGCACUACGGUGCUGAAGCAACAAAUGCCCUGCUUCCAGGAAAAGCCUCUAAGCAUCAGGUAACAUCAAAUCGUACCCCAAACCGACACAGGUGGUCAGGUAGAGAAUACCAAGGCGCUUGAGAGAACUCGGGUGAAGGAACUAGGCAAAAUGGUGCCGUAACUUCGGGAGAAGGCACGCUGAUAUGUAGGUGAAGUCCCUUGCGGAUGGAGCUGAAAUCAGUCGAAGAUACCAGCUGGCUGCAACUGUUUAUUAAAAACACAGCACUGUGCAAACACGAAAGUGGACGUAUACGGUGUGACGCCUGCCCGGUGCCGGAAGGUUAAUUGAUGGGGUCAGCGCAAGCGAAGCUCUUGAUCGAAGCCCCGGUAAACGGCGGCCGUAACUAUAACGGUCCUAAGGUAGCGAAAUUCCUUGUCGGGUAAGUUCCGACCUGCACGAAUGGCGUAAUGAUGGCCAGGCUGUCUCCACCCGAGACUCAGUGAAAUUGAACUCGCUGUGAAGAUGCAGUGUACCCGCGGCAAGACGGAAAGACCCCGUGAACCUUUACUAUAGCUUGACACUGAACAUUGAGCCUUGAUGUGUAGGAUAGGUGGGAGGCUUUGAAGUGUGGACGCCAGUCUGCAUGGAGCCGACCUUGAAAUACCACCCUUUAAUGUUUGAUGUUCUAACGUUGACCCGUGAUCCGGGUUGCGGACAGUGUCUGGUGGGUAGUUUGACUGGGGCGGUCUCCUCCUAAAGAGUAACGGAGGAGCACGAAGGUUGGCUAAUCCUGGUCGGACAUCAGGAGGUUAGUGCAAUGGCAUAAGCCAGCUUGACUGCGAGCGUGACGGCGCGAGCAGGUGCGAAAGCAGGUCAUAGUGAUCCGGUGGUUCUGAAUGGAAGGGCCAUCGCUCAACGGAUAAAAGGUACUCCGGGGAUAACAGGCUGAUACCGCCCAAGAGUUCAUAUCGACGGCGGUGUUUGGCACCUCGAUGUCGGCUCAUCACAUCCUGGGGCUGAAGUAGGUCCCAAGGGUAUGGCUGUUCGCCAUUUAAAGUGGUACGCGAGCUGGGUUUAGAACGUCGUGAGACAGUUCGGUCCCUAUCUGCCGUGGGCGCUGGAGAACUGAGGGGGGCUGCUCCUAGUACGAGAGGACCGGAGUGGACGCAUCACUGGUGUUCGGGUUGUCAUGCCAAUGGCACUGCCCGGUAGCUAAAUGCGGAAGAGAUAAGUGCUGAAAGCAUCUAAGCACGAAACUUGCCCCGAGAUGAGUUCUCCCUGACUCCUUGAGAGUCCUGAAGGAACGUUGAAGACGACGACGUUGAUAGGCCGGGUGUGUAAGCGCAGCGAUGCGUUGAGCUAACCGGUACUAAUGAACCGUGAGGCUUAACCUU
This 2901-nucleotide ribosomal RNA is filed under the name Escherichia coli DEC15D. Its description in RNAcentral is "bacterial LSU rRNA". It matches the Rfam family "Bacterial large subunit ribosomal RNA". Lineage: Bacteria; Pseudomonadati; Pseudomonadota; Gammaproteobacteria; Enterobacterales; Enterobacteriaceae. The record is from RNAcentral.